CAGCGAGUGUUCCCGCCUGAAAGCCGAGUUUGGUUUCAAGCCACCCUGGACAACUGCUGUAUGAGGCGCCGUUUCUCGGGAGGACCAGUGGGAAGGCGCCAGGUCAUGCAGAUGGUAGCAGCAAUUUCACAAUGCCCAGCCUUGGCGCCCCCCAUCAAGAGCAAGCCACUUGCGUUCGCCUUCAGACAGAUGGUUAAUGUCUUCUUGAAAGCGGUUGAGAAGACAACAUUGAUGCAAGAUUCCAGCAAUGCCAUGCGCUGCAUUUAUUGGUCAAGAUGCUCAGAGAAUGGAGUCCCUGCACCUCGUGGUUAACCGUGAACAUUUCUUUUUCUUUUGGAAAGCUAAAGGCCAUUUGCUGCAUCACUUGCAUUUUUGCAGCUCAGAUGUGUACUAUAUUUUUCUAAUUUUGAAUCAAUAUUGGCUGUUCAGUAUAAAAAAUGACGUACAGCGUGAAGGACAAGGACUGCGAGAGACACACUCCACUGACUUUCAACAAUAUUUUAUUGCGUUGCCACAUCGUGUGUGUAUACACAGAGGGGUCAUGCGCAGAAAAUGAAAGCCAGUCACAAGGGGUGUUCUAACAGCAAGUCAUUGUACA
Dermacentor albipictus is the source of this 598-nucleotide non-coding RNA. Lineage: Eukaryota; Metazoa; Arthropoda; Arachnida; Ixodida; Ixodidae. The record is from RefSeq and is a predicted model, not a curated record.